UGACAGCAGCCGGAAGCAGUCAUAGGA
Molecule: small RNA, 27 nt
Filed under: Bombyx mori (domestic silkworm)
Lineage: Eukaryota; Metazoa; Arthropoda; Insecta; Lepidoptera; Bombycidae
Description: ovarian small RNA-31393
Source: RNAcentral